UACGUAGGGGGCUAGCGUUGUCCGGCUUUAUUGGGCGUAAAGAGCGUGUAGGCUGCCCUGUAGGUCCGGUGUGAAAACUCGAGGCUUAACCUCGAGAUGUCAUCGGAAACCAUUUGGCUAGAGUCCGGAAGAGGAGAGUGGAAUUCCUGGUGUAGCGGUGAAAUGCGCAGAUAUCAGGAAGAACACCAAUGGCGAAAGCAGCUCUCUGGGACGGUACUGACGCUGAGACGCGAAAGCGUGGGGAGCGAACAGG
Molecule: ribosomal RNA, 253 nt
Filed under: uncultured bacterium
Lineage: Bacteria
Description: partial 16S ribosomal RNA
Rfam family: Bacterial small subunit ribosomal RNA
Source: RNAcentral